UAAAGUGUCAAAGAAAAUUCCUGAGGAAAAAGUACCUGUUCCUGUUCAGAAAAAAGAGGCACCCCCAGCCAAAGUACCGGAGGUGCCUAAGAAAAUUGUGGUAGAAGAAAAAGUACGUGUUCCUGAAGAGCCCAGAGUUCCACCAACUAAAGUACCAGAGCCUCCCAAAGAAGUAGUUCCUGAAAAGAAAGCGCCAGUGGCUCCUCCUAAAGAGCCUGAAGUCCCACCUGUUAAAGUGCCUGAGGCUCCCAAAGAAGUUGUUCCUGAAAAGAAAGUGCCAGUGCCUCCUCCUAAAAAGCCUGAAGUGCCACCCACAAAAGUCCCAGAGGUGCCAAAGGCAGCUGUCCCAGAAAAGAAGUUGCCUGAAGCUAUUCCUCCCAAACCGGAAAGUCCUCCCCCUGAAGUGCCUGAAGUGCUGCCACCGAAGGAAGUGGUCCCAGAAAAGAAAGUACCGGUGCCUCCUGCCAAAAAGCCAGAAGCUCCACCUCCUAAAGUGCCUGAGGCUCCCAAAGAAGUUGUUCCUGAAAAGAAAGUGCCAGUGCCUCCUCCUAAAAAGCCUGAAGUGCCACCCACAAAAGUCCCAGAGGUGCCAAAGGCAGCUGUCCCAGAAAAGAAGGUGCCUGAAGCUAUUCCUCCCAAACCGGAAAGUCCUCCCCCUGAAGUGCCUGAAGUGCUGCCACCGAAGGAAGUGGUCCC
This 696-nucleotide long non-coding RNA is filed under the name Homo sapiens (human). RNAcentral describes it as "HSALNT0044063". The record is from RNAcentral. Lineage: Eukaryota; Metazoa; Chordata; Mammalia; Primates; Hominidae.